Molecule: ribosomal RNA, 1236 nt
Filed under: metagenome
Description: bacterial LSU rRNA
Rfam family: Bacterial large subunit ribosomal RNA
Source: RNAcentral
UGAGUACGAGAUGCUACGGCAUCGAAGCAGUCUAUGUCAUACUUCCAAGAAAAGCUUGCAAUGUCAUAAACAAAUAAUGCCUGUACCAUAACCGACACAGGUGGGUAGGUAGAGUAUACUAAGGGGCGCGAGAUAACUCUCUCUAAGGAACUCGGCAAAAUGACUCCGUAACUUCGGGAGAAGGAGUGCCUUAUUUUUAUAAGGUUGCAAUAACAAGAUCCAAGCAACUGUUUACCAAAAACACAGGUCUCCGCUAAGUCGUAAGACGAUGUAUGGGGGCUGACGCCUGCCCAGUGCCAGAAGGUUAAAGAAGUUGGUUAGCAUUAGCGAAGCUGAUAACUGAAGCCCUGGUGAACGGCGGCCGUAACGAUAACGGUCCUAAGGUAGCGAAAUUCCUUGUCGGGUAAGUUCCGACCCGCACGAAAGGCGUAAUGAUUUGGAUACUGUCUCGGAGAGGGGCUCGGUGAAAUAGACUUGUCUGUGAAGAUGCGGACUACCUGCACCUGGACAGAAAGACCCUAUGAAGCUUUACUGUAACUUGAGAUUGAAAUUGGACUUUAUCUGCGCAGUAUAGGUGGGAGACGUUGAAAAUAUUCUUGCGGGAAUAUUGGAGUCAUCAGUGAGAUACCACUCUUAUAAUGUUAGAUUUCUAACUUUGUAUCAUUAUCUGGUCAAAGAACAGUUUCAGGCGGGCAGUUUGACUGGGGCGGUCGCCUCCCAAACGGUAACGGAGGCGCACAAAGGUUUCCUCUGAACGUGUAGAAAUCGUAUCUAGAGUGUAAAGGCAUAAGGAAGCUUGACUGUGAGACCUACAAGUCGAGCAGGGACGAAAGUCGGUCUUAGUGAUCUGACGGUGCUGAGUGGAAAGGCCGUCACUCAACGGAUAAAAGUUACUCUAGGAUAACAGGCUGAUCUCCCCCAAGAGUUCACAUCGACGGGGAGGUUUGGCACCUCGAUGUCGGCUCAUCGCAUCCUGGGGCGGUAGUACGUCCCAAGGGUUGGGCUGUUCGCCCAUGAAAGCGGUACGCGAGCUGGGUUCAGAACGUCGUGAGACAGUUCGGUCUAUAUCCGGUGUAGGCGUUAGAAUAUUGAGAGGAGCCUUCUUUAGUACGAGAGGACCGAGAAGGACAUACCUCUGGUGUACCAGUUAUCGUGCCAACGGUAAACGCUGGGUAGCCAUGUAUGGAGAGGAUAACCGCUGAAAGCAUCUAAGUGGGAAGCCCACCUCAAGAUAAG